ACUCACACCCAGAGAAUAGUUUGCUUUGUCUGGAACCAGUGGAGAAGCGCCCAAGUGGGUAGAGUCUCACUAGUGUGGGGUCUGUGGAAGGGAGGAGGGAGCCCUGAGGGUAAUGGCAGAGAGAGGAAAGAGCUUUGGCAUCAGGACAACCUGCCCCCACUCUGCUGGCCCCCACUCUGCUGCUCCCUUGCUGGGUGACCUUGGGUGAGUCACUUGCCCUCUUGGAGCAUCUGUUUCCUCAACUAUUAAAAAGGGUGAGAGUACAUCACUGCAUUCUCAUAAAGCCAGUGACGCAGAGCUCAAAUUUUAACCUGGGACUGCUCGUUCUUUCCUUUGCCCUACCUCUCUGCCCUGGAUCGAUGCACUUUGAACCCAGGACGGCUGGAGAGCAACAGAAACAAUAAGAAGAACAAGAAAAGAUGAACCUUGAAGAAGAGAAGUCAAGCAGCAUACGUGAGAUAGGUUACUUCUAGCUGGGGAAUCCGUCUGGAAGUCUUCCUGGAGGAGUGAUGUUUGGAGGAGUUGGCAAAUGGCAAAUUUCACCAGAAUCGGUGAAGAAAGGUGGAAAGCAGAGCUUCUCAGUUCUCCAGGUGUCCCGGCUUGGUGGAUGGAGGCCAAGGCCAGAGCCCAGAGGCCUGCUUUCCAGGACCAAGCCUGGCAGCGGGCUCCUGUUGCCCUAGGCCUGCUCCCCAGCCCCAGCCCCAGCCCUGCCGAUUCUUCAUUUGUGAAGAAAGGACCGGGGACUGGCCCAUCUGCAGGGCCCUUUCCGCUCUUACACAUUCUGUGACAUGAGAAGGGUUUUGUUAAGAGAGAGAGAAGCUGGAGGUGGUCUUGGAAAACCAAGCGGUACUGCUCACGCCGUGAUUGGGACAGAGAGGCAGUGAUCUGAAUGUCAGCAUACCCUGGCCCCCGAUCACCGAGUCAAGGUCUCAGACGAAAGAACUCCAUCCAGCAACUGCCGUGUAGAGAUCCCCGGACUGGAUGGGCUUAUGCCAAAUGACUGUACUCAAGAUUCUAGUGCUAACAGUGGGCAAAGUCUGGUGAGGGUCCCAUCAACAUUUCUAUACCCAGAAUGUUCCUUCAUCCAUGGUGGCAAGAACUAGGCUACCCCAUGAGACCCCCUUAAAAGAGCUACUGAACUAACAAAGAAGCGGCUUCAUUUUUAAUUGACAUUUGAAUUGAAAUGGAUGCUUUUCAAGACUUUUCCUCUCAGAUGGAAUAAGUUUGUCCACUAAAUUCCACAAUCUGAUUGAUGUGGUUCAUUUAUGUUACCUUUUUUUUUAAAGACAUUUAUUUAUUUGACAGAGAGAGAGAGCACAAGCAGGGGGAGUGACAGGCAGAGGGAGAGGGAGAAGCAGACUCCUGAGGAGCAGGGAGCCCAACGCAGGGCUCAAUCCCAGGACCACAGGAUCAUGACAUGAGGCAAAAGCAGACGCUUAACCAACUGAGCCAUCCGGGUGCCCCUGUUGCUUUUUUUUUUUUUUUUUUGGAUUUAGGGUUAGAAGACUGCAUAAAGAUUUUGUAAUCUAGCACCUACCCUAAUAUUAAAACUUCUCUGUAGCAUUUCAACCAAAAAGGCCCAGCCUUGUAUACCUCUAGUUAUAUGGAAUUUACUAAUUUUCAAGUCAAUUUUGUGCCUUAUGGGUUAGUUCUAAUUAUAAGACUUAUUCCAUAUGUGGGGUUUGGACAGCCCUUCAUGGGUGUCCUUCUCUCUUCCCCAACAGGCAGGACCAGCUCUUUCAAGCAUUGCUCAUUAGACCUCUCACCAUCCUGGGUUUCUUAAUUGUGCAAUGAAAUUCUAGACACGAAGAAACUGCUGGGAUUGAGAUCCACAGUUGAAAAGAAAAAGAUGAAUAUUUUAGUUAAUGUUUCCCUGACUGUUCUGGUUUCCAGAACAGUGGACAUCCAGCCCUGACCCAUGAUGGAAGCCAUCUGUAAUGGAUCAGAGGACUACUCAUCUGUCUUCUAACUGGGGGGCAUUCCAUCUCUGCAUGAAUCCUUCUUCUUCCCUGUCUGCUUGGUUCCCCCCCCCCUUUU
Long non-coding RNA from Mirounga angustirostris (Northern elephant seal), 2037 nucleotides. RefSeq lists it as uncharacterized. Lineage: Eukaryota; Metazoa; Chordata; Mammalia; Carnivora; Phocidae. The record is from RefSeq and is a predicted model, not a curated record. The transcript has 3 exons.